AGCUUUGUGCAGUGGCAGUAUCAUAGCCAAUGAGGUUUAUCUGAGGCGCGAUUAUUGCUAAUUGAAACUUAAAAUUUUUCAAUCCCAGAUAAUGUAAGGGAAUAAUUUGAUAUGUAUUAUAUCUUAUAUUUGCAGGAUUAGCAGU
Molecule: small nuclear RNA, 145 nt
Organism: Nyctereutes procyonoides (raccoon dog)
Lineage: Eukaryota; Metazoa; Chordata; Mammalia; Carnivora; Canidae
Product: U4 spliceosomal RNA
Exons: 1
Source: RefSeq, a predicted model, not a curated record